CACACCGCCCGUCGCUACUACCGAUUGAAUGGCUCAGUGAGGCGUCCGGACUGGCCCAGAGAGGUGGGCAACUACCACUCAGGGCCGGAAAGCUCUCCAAACUCGGUCAUUUAGAGGAAGUAAAAGUCGUAACAAGGUCUCCGUUGGUGAACCAGCGGAGGGAUCAUU
This 168-nucleotide ribosomal RNA is filed under the name Metarhizium rileyi. Its description in RNAcentral is "partial 18S ribosomal RNA". It matches the Rfam family "Eukaryotic small subunit ribosomal RNA", at positions 1665 to 1830 of the family's 1831-position model. The record is from RNAcentral. Lineage: Eukaryota; Fungi; Ascomycota; Sordariomycetes; Hypocreales; Clavicipitaceae.